GCAAUACUUAGUGGCAGACGGGUGAGUAACAUGUGGGUAUCUACCCUUUGGCCUGGAAUAACACGAGGAAACUUGUGCUAAUACCGGAUAAGUCUUUACGGAGAAAGCUUUAUGCACCAUUGGAUGAGCCCGCACUUGAUUAGUUUGUUGGUAGGGUAAUGGCCUACCAAGACUAUGAUCAAUAGCUGAUUUGAGAGGAUGAUCAGCCACAUUGGGACUGAGACACGGCCCAAACUCCUACGGGAGGCAGCAGUGGGGAAUCUUGCACAAUGGAGGAAACUCUGAUGCAGCGAUGCCGCGUGAGUGAAGAAGGCCUUUGGGUUGUAAAGCUCUUUCGUCGGGGAAGAAAAUGACUGUACCCGAAUAAGAAGGUCCGGCUAACUUCGUGCCAGCAGCCGCGGUAAUACGAAGGGACCUAGCGUAGUUCGGAAUUACUGGGCUUAAAGAGUUCGUAGGUGGUUGAAAAAGUUGGUGGUGAAAUCCCAGAGCUUAACUCUGGAACUGCCAUCAAAACUUUUCAGCUAGAGUAUGAUAGAGGAAAGCAGAAUUUCUAGUGUAGAGGUGAAAUUCGUAGAUAUUAGAAAGAAUACCAAUUGCGAAGGCAGCUUUCUGGAUCAUUACUGACACUGAGGAACGAAAGCAUGGGUAGCGAAGAGGAUUAGAUACCCUCGUAGUCCAUGCCGUANACGAUGUGUGUUAGACGUUGGAAAUUUAUUUUCAGUGUCGCANGGAAACCGAUAAACACACCGCCUGGGGAGUACGACCGCAAGGUUAAAACUCAAAUGAAUUGACGGGGACCCGCACAAGUAGUGGAGCAU
Molecule: ribosomal RNA, 818 nt
Filed under: uncultured Alphaproteobacteria bacterium
Lineage: Bacteria; Pseudomonadati; Pseudomonadota; Alphaproteobacteria
Description: bacterial SSU rRNA
Rfam family: Bacterial small subunit ribosomal RNA
Source: RNAcentral